GCACCCAGCUGUUCACCUCGUGGGUCCGGGGUGGGGCCGGGACUGGGCAGGUGGGUGGGCACAGGCAUGGGGAGUCCUCCUCAGUGCACCCCCGAUGCCUGCUCCUCCCUCUUGGUCCUCGAGCGCCAGGGGAGCAUUCAACCUCUUGCUGCUUCUGUAAGUCCCCAUCUCGGAGCAUGUCGAGGAGAUGAAAUUCUCUGCUUCGCAGGGGAAGGGAAGGUGAAGCCAACAUUUGGGGGAGAACUGCUCUUUCUAUUUCACAGAGGGGAAACUGACGCAGGGAGCCAUGAGCCCUCGAGGCCACACUUUAGGGGGCAGAGGCAAGAUGAGAAGGGAACCCCACGUCUGCACAGCUGGGCCCCUGCACUCUGCUGCGUGGCCCAAGUCACCAGUGGGAGUAACUCCGGAACUGAGGGCUUGUUCUGGGCCCACCUCAGAGGGAGAGGGGUGUGCGCUGGCAGGGGACAGGGUGGCUGCUGACCUGGGCAUCUGCUCUCCCCCAGGCAUGACUACGGGGCCCCCCAGGAGGCGACUCUCGGGGCCAACAAGGUGAUCGAAGGCCUGGACACGGGCCUGCAGGGCAUGUGUGUGGGAGAGAGGCGGCAGCUCAUCGUGCCCCCGCACCUGGCCCACGGGGAGAGUGGAGCCCGGGGAGUCCCAGGCAGUGCUGUGCUGCUGUUUGAGGUGGAGCUGGUGUCCCGGGAGGAUGGGCUGCCCACAGGCUACCUGUUUGUGUGGCACGAGGACCCUCCUGCCAACCUGUUUGAAGACAUGGACCUCAACAAGGAUGGCGAGGUCCCUCCGGAGGAGUUCUCCACCUUCAUCAAGGCUCAAGUGAGUGAGGGCAAAGGACGCCUCAUGCCUGGGCAGGACCCUGAGAAAACCAUAGGAGACAUGUUCCAGAACCAGGACCGCAACCAGGACGGCAAGAUCACAGUCGACGAGCUCAAGCUGAAGUCAGAUGAGGACGAGGAGCGGGUCCACGAGGAGCUCUGAGGGGCAGGGAGCCUGGCCAGGCCUGAGACACAGAGGCCCACUGCGAGGGGGACAGUGGCGGUGGGACUGACCUGCUGACAGUCACCCUUCCUCUGCUGGGAUGAGGUCCAGGAGCCAACUAAAACAAUGGCA
This 1128-nucleotide small RNA is filed under the name Pan troglodytes (chimpanzee). RNAcentral's name for it is "retained intron". The record is from RNAcentral. Lineage: Eukaryota; Metazoa; Chordata; Mammalia; Primates; Hominidae.